This 155-nucleotide ribosomal RNA is filed under the name Cookeina venezuelae. Its description in RNAcentral is "5.8S ribosomal RNA". It matches the Rfam family "5.8S ribosomal RNA". From Rfam's summary of the family: 5.8S ribosomal RNA (5.8S rRNA) is a component of the large subunit of the eukaryotic ribosome. Lineage: Eukaryota; Fungi; Ascomycota; Pezizomycetes; Pezizales; Sarcoscyphaceae. The record is from RNAcentral.
AAAACUUUCAACAACGGAUCUCUUGGUUCCCGCAUCGAUGAAGAACGCAGCGAAAUGCGAUAAGUAGUGUGAAUUGCAGAUUUCAGUGAAUCAUCGAAUCUUUGAACGCACAUUGCGCCCUCUGGUAUUCCGGAGGGCAUGCCUGUCCGAGCGUC